Molecule: transfer RNA, 72 nt
Filed under: Camelus bactrianus (Bactrian camel)
Lineage: Eukaryota; Metazoa; Chordata; Mammalia; Artiodactyla; Camelidae
Also listed under: 2 other names
Rfam family: tRNA
About the family: Transfer RNA (tRNA) molecules are approximately 80 nucleotides in length.
Source: Rfam by way of RNAcentral
GAGGGUGUAGCUCAGUUGCAGAGCACAUGUUUAGCAUGCGUGAGGUCCUGGGUUCAGUCCCCAGCCCCUCCA